This 2094-nucleotide long non-coding RNA is filed under the name Homo sapiens (human). RNAcentral's name for it is "HSALNT0336325". The record is from RNAcentral. Lineage: Eukaryota; Metazoa; Chordata; Mammalia; Primates; Hominidae.
AUGAAUAAAUUAUAUGAAUAUAUGAUUUUACCCCAAAAACAUGUCUUUAACCUAGGCACGUAUGAUGGAUAGAUUUUCAGUUCUAAAGAAAGCUCUCUAUUGCCUGUACAAAUCGUAGCUGAGUGAUAUCCACAGGGCACUAAAUGUUGUAACUAACCUUCAUUUCCCUACAUCCGCUAGAUUUUAGCAAUGGUGCCUAAUAAGAGUUAGUUGUGUUUGUUCCCCAACUUGGUGUUGCCUCUUUUCUUGAUGUUAUAAUUUAUAAUUAUGCAUUAAUUAUGUAUCAUAAAAACCUAUGAUAUAUGGCUUUGAACGAUUUUUUUUUUUGGUGAAGGGUUGAAUGCCUUGUGAAGGUUUGAUGAAAGCAAGUCACUUAGAAAUGCUAUCAGAUUAAGUACAGGUAAGGAAACCAUAAGAAAGAGCAUUGCCCUUUAAAGUAAUUAUUUUGUUCAACCUAUUUCACAAUAUGCUGAAAGAGCCUACUAUAUUGCUCAAUAUUUACUUUAUAGAUGCAUUCAACUUUUACCCAAGUUCAAUACCAGAUCCUCAAAGGAUUUAUAGGUAGCAUUUAAGGAAUGAAUCAGCUACUUGGAUACCAGAAGGCCCUGAGAAGAACCAAGCCAGAAUUAAAGAAGAAUGUUUUCGUUAGCCUAAUUACAUAUUUCAAAGGUCAAAUGAUUGUAUUUAAUGUUGUUUAUUGUCAUCAUAAACCUUGUCAUCAUCAACUUAAGGCUUGUAGGUCAUACUGCCCAAACAGACAGACAAGCAGAGAAGUUAGCUGAACUAAAGGAACUGUGAGACUGGAUGUUAAGUACUUAUCUUGCAAUCAUGAAAAUUGGCACAAGUCCAGAAAAUAAUUUGUGUUGCUCCAAAGUGAGAUGGAAAUAUAUUCAACUUUUACAAUAUGUUUUAAGUUUCUGAUGGUAUUAAUGUUGGUUUUUCCUUGUUCAAAGGAAGACGUUUAUAUUUCUGAGAAUUAAAACAUCAAAAGCAGCCAUUAAUGUGAUGUUUCCUUAAAUUCACAAAAGAAGAAUCAAAUAAUGUUUAUAUGAGGGGGUACUGAAAAAUGUGUACAAAGUAUUCUUGGAGCACAAAUGAGAGACUUCAACUCUUUCUCAAACAUCAGUGAUGAUUUUACAGAGAAGACAUUUGUGUUGCAUUAAAAGAAGGAAUUUACAAAGUAGAGAAGAGGUGAAAGCAAGAAGGGUGAUGUGGAAGAGCCAACUGAGGAAGGACAGAGGUCUCAGCGUGGAAGGAGUACAGGAAAUGAUGAAGAUAUAGCGGGUACAUGUGCAGGUUUGUUACAUGGGAAUAUUGCAUGAUGCUGAAGUUUGGAAUAUGUAUCCCAUCACCCAAUUGGUGAGCUUAGUACAUGAUGCUGCACUACUUGUUACCGUGGCCUAUUGUAUAAUUACAUUGGAACCUUUUUGAUACCUAUUCAAGUGAGUAUUUCCCUCUUGUUGCCUGAAAUUUCUUUUCUGCACUAGGUAAAUGAGCCAAUAAAGUAUUUCUUAAAACAUUGCCGUUACCAUGGAAAUAAGGGUUUCACAUUACUCUUGUCUAUGUAUGUUGACUUUAUUUUGGGUCAUGUAGUUGGGAGAUAGCUCUCAGAGUUUCAUGGUAUCCUAAAAGCAUUUUGUGAUUUUAUGGAGAUCUUUUCUUGAACUACUUUUUUAUUGAAAAACAUACUGUUUCCUAGAAGACCGGUGAGAGCAUUUGAAUUAUAAUCCAAAUAUUUUCCUGGCUUUCAUUGAAAUACAGUCUUGACUUAGGAAAAGCUUCUUAUUUUGCUAUACAUUUAGAAAGCAUGCAACAUAUUUUCUAUACAGUCAACACAAUCUUUGAGGCCAUCUGCAGUUUAUAACAAAUUUAUGAUAUAGUAGCUUAAAUUGAUGAGAUAAUGAGCUGCUGACAGACAUGUUUUUCUAAAUUGAUAUUUGAGGAUGGUGCAGCCAAAAUACUUGGCAUGAAAUAGCAAAGGAAAUGAGAGUUGUGUAUCUACAGAACUCAACUCUAUACUGCCACACAAGCUAAAAAGACUUAAAAUCUAAAAUUUUACUAGUACUCUUCAGUUCUAUCCUAUACUCUUUGAUU